CCUACGGGUGGCAGCAGUGAGGAAUAUUGGUCAAUGCACGAGAGUCUGAACCAGCCAAGUAGCGUGAAGGAUGACUGCCCUAUGGGUUGUAAACUUCUUUUAUAUGGGAAUAAAAUGUUCCACGUGUGGGAUUUUGUAUGUACCAUAUGAAUAAGGAUCGGCUAACUCCGUGCCAGCAGCCGCGGUAAUACGGAGGAUCCGAGCGUUAUCCGGAUUUAUUGGGUUUAAAGGGAGCGUAGGUGGAUUGUUAAGUCAGUUGUGAAAGUUUGCGGCUCAACCGUAAAAUUGCAGUUGAAACUGGCAGUCUUGAGUACAGUAGAGGUGGGCGGAAUGCGUGGUGUAGCGGUGAAAUGCUUAGAUAUCACGAAGAACUCCGAUUGCGAAGGCAGUUCACUGGACUGCAACUGACACUGAGGCUCGAAAGUGUGGGUAUCAAACAGGAUUAGAUACCCCAGUAGUC
This 460-nucleotide ribosomal RNA is filed under the name uncultured bacterium. RNAcentral's name for it is "partial 16S ribosomal RNA". It matches the Rfam family "Bacterial small subunit ribosomal RNA", at positions 338 to 795 of the family's 1533-position model. The record is from RNAcentral.